CUUUCCUCCGGUGAAGACGCUGUUAGAAAGUAUCAAGAUCUGGUUGAAAGCAGUGAGACAGAGAGAAAGUUAAGCUGCUGAUAUUGAGUUUUCAAGAUACCUCCGAUUGGUUUUAUAGAAAGGGAUAGAUCUGAUUCUGACCCUAGCGGUCAGUGGCGAGCCAACCGCAGAACUGAACGGACCAAGAGCCUGGUGUGGCCAGCUGUGGCAUCUUUGGACCUAUGAUCAUCAUCAUUUGCCUCCAUUUUAAAUACAGAUAAGAACACGUAAACCUACCCGGGUAGUGAAGAGAACCAAUACUUCAAGAAACACACACACACACACUGAGAACUUCCAUGGACUCAUUCUUCAUUUGAGUUAUUUAUUUUGAGUUUACUGUGCACUGUGCACUUAGGAAGCCGGCUUAGGUAG
Molecule: long non-coding RNA, 411 nt
Organism: Paramisgurnus dabryanus
Lineage: Eukaryota; Metazoa; Chordata; Actinopteri; Cypriniformes; Cobitidae
Source: RefSeq, a predicted model, not a curated record